UNGGAAUUACUGGGCGUAAAGCGAGCGCNGACGGUUACUUAAGCAGGAUGUGAAAUCCCCGGGCUCAACCUGGGAACUGCGUUNUGAACUGGGUGACUAGAGUGUGUCAGAGGGAGGUAGAAUNCCACGUGUAGCAGUGAAAUGCGUAGAGAUGUGGAGGAAUACCGAUGGCGAAGGCAGCCUCCUGGGAUAACACUGACGUUCAUGCUCGAAAGCGUGGGUAGCAAACAGGAUUAGAUACCCUGGUAGUCCACGCCCUAAACGAUGUCAAUUAGCUGUUGGGCAACUUGAUUGCUUAGUAGCGUAGCUAACGCGUGAAAUUGACCGCCUGGGGAGUACGGUCGCAAGAUUAAAACUCAAAGGAAUUGACGGGGACCCGCACAAGCGGUGGAUGAUGUGGAUUAAUUCGAUGCAACGCGAAGAACCUUACCUGGUCUUGACAUGUACGGAAUCCUCCAGAGACGGAGGAGUGCCUUCGGGAGCCGUAACACAGGUGCUGCAUGGCUGUCGUCAGCUCGUGUCGUGAGAUGUUGGGUUAAGUCCCGCAACGAGCGCAACCCUUGUCAUUAGUUGCCAUCAUUUAGUUGGGCACUCUAAUGAGACUGCCGGUGACAAGCCGGAGGAAGGUGGGGAUGACGUCAAGUCCUCAUGGCCCUUAUGACCAGGGCUUCACACGUCAUACAAUGGUCGGUACAGAGGGUAGCCAAGCCGCGAGGUGGAGCCAAUCUCACAAAACCGAUCGUAGUCCGGAUUGCACUCUGCAACUCGA
Molecule: ribosomal RNA, 769 nt
Filed under: uncultured bacterium
Lineage: Bacteria
Description: bacterial SSU rRNA
Rfam family: Bacterial small subunit ribosomal RNA
Source: RNAcentral